Molecule: ribosomal RNA, 505 nt
Filed under: uncultured bacterium
Lineage: Bacteria
Description: partial 16S ribosomal RNA
Rfam family: Bacterial small subunit ribosomal RNA
Source: RNAcentral
GACGAACGCUGGCGGCGUGCCUAAUACAUGCAAGUAGAACGCACAGUUUAUACCGUAGCUUGCUACACCAUAAACUGUGAGUUGCGAACGGGUGAGUAACGCGUAGGUAACCUGCCUGGUAGCGGGGGAUAACUAUUGGAAACGAUAGCUAAUACCGCAUAAUAUUGAUUAUUGCAUGAUAAUUGAUUGAAAGAUGCUAUUGCAUCACUACCAGAUGGACCUGCGUUGUAUUAGCUAGUAGGUGAGGUAACGGCUCACCUAGGCGACGAUACAUAGCCGACAUGAGAGGAUGAGCGGCCACACUGGGACUGAGACACGGCCCAGACUCCUACGGGAGGCAGCAGUAGGGAAUCUUCGGCAAUGGAAGAAAGUCUGACCGAGCAACGCCGCGUGAGUGAAGAAGGUUUUCGGAUCGUAAAGCUCUGUUGUAAGAGAAGAACGGGUGUGAGAGUGGAAAGUUCACACUGUGACGGUAUCUUACCAGAAAGGGACGGCUAACUACGUG